RNAcentral lists this long non-coding RNA (8443 nucleotides) under Vigna radiata. RNAcentral describes it as "long non-coding RNA (VRAD_LNC009458)". Lineage: Eukaryota; Viridiplantae; Streptophyta; Magnoliopsida; Fabales; Fabaceae. The record is from RNAcentral.
GACUUAUGAGCUGAUGAUAGCCACAAUCAUUCACAACUACAUGAGCUUUGGCCAACAGCCAAAUUGUACUUUCAACACCUUCUGUUGCAGGCAGCACGACUUUACUCACGGCACCUAAGUUGUCUCCACCAGGAUGUGUCUUGCUUAAUUCGAUAACAAGAGGCUUUAAAGAUCCAUCAUCUUUCAAGAAUAGGAUUGUCCUUGUGGCAUAAGCUUUUGAUGUUGGUAGGUUGUUUAUCCUCGUCAAAUAAGGGAUGAAUGCAUCAUGGUGAUCUAGUAUGAAUAAUCUGUCUUUACCAAGUGCCUGUUCCAGAAAUUUUUAUUUCAGUGACUCAAUUUCUUAACUUCAAUUUACAAAUCCAAGUAGAGCAAUUAAAUAUUGACUCUUUUACAUGUUAAUCGAGUGUAUUUUGUUUUUAAUUUGCAUCAGAAGGAUUACUGAAAAGGAAAUUAUAAGAGAAUUUAGCAAAAGUCAUGCCAGAUAGAAGUCGAAUGAUGAUGUUUUUUUAUUGUGAAAAAUGCAUAUCAUUACCUCUUCUACUGUGACCCCAUCCAUGUUAAUCUCCAACUGUUCUUUUGUUAUGGUACUAGUUUGAUCACCAUAGAUUGUGGGAUCAAGUGAGCUUUUUGGUGGAAAUUCCUGCCAUUAGUAAACAAUGAUGUGAGGAAGGAUGACAGAUAUACGUAUAUAAUGAAUUUAAUAACAAAACAUUUGAACUUACUUGCAGACGACGAAUUACAUUUGGAUUUACACCAGCAAUGGUCUCUCUUGCAAAUUCUUCAUCAGUCAUCCAUGCUGACUUGCUAACUGUCCAAAGCAUAAAAUAUGUACUUGUCAAAUUAUCAAUUCAACAAACGCUAACAUGAUUAAGUUGUUUUGAUCAAGAUGUAUAAUCGAAGGUACCUCUGAUUACAUGAGGUGGUGGAAAUUGAAGGACAUUUUCACCGUCAGUACGGAAGAUUUCCUUGAGGGCUGGUAAGGGACUGAUUUGGCUGAGUAUAUCUGUUGGCAGCUUAAGUCCACCCUCAUAGAGACUACGCACAUCAUCGAAGCUAUCAAACUCACUUGAUGUAACCCUCAAGUCAAAAAUUGCAGAUUUUAACAAAGGAAACACAUUCUGAGAUAGGGAUUUGAGUCCAUAUAUAAGAAAAUCCGAUGACUUCAAGUGACCGAAAUUCUCAUCUCUUGGGACAUAAAUCUCACCCGGUUUCUCACUGUUGGGGUCUGUUACAAAAUAACCCAGAGUGAAAGAAUUAUCAACAAACGCAUAAAUUUGUAUACCAAGAUCAACAUAAUAAUAAAGUUUACAUCUUUAUCCACCAAUGAAACCAUAUAUGCCCUUGUGUUUAGUUUCACUAUAAAGAAAAAUCUUACCUUUUUUGGUCUUGUCUCUACCAGAUCUAACCCUGCGAGGGUAUGGAUAGUUGCUAGAGCCUCCAAGGAUUGGGCGAGGCUCACCACCAUCUGGGUUUCCAAUGUCAUUAUACACGUCAUAGUCAUAGAUUCUAUCUUCUUCCUUGCGUUUUCCAGUUCCAUCUCCUCUAAGAGUCUCCAAUUCUUCUUGUCUGUACUUCAGCAAUGGAGCUGGUGUUGCACUUGGAACAUAUGUCUGUCAUAUAUUUCACCAAUUUUGUCAUUCAAAGAAUUACAAACAAAACCCAUUUGUCUUUGUUUGAAAAAUUAGUUGGGUGAACUUUUGUACACAUUAGAAAAGCAGAACUUACAUUGUUGACAAAGAAAAUACGAUCUUUUUUGUAUUUUUUGAAGUUAUAAACCCAGGAGUUACAGACAAAGUGAAUGCUUCCAUGGUUUGGAAUGUCUUCAAGAGUCACACUAACAAGGAAAAACUCAUCAGUCUUGAAGUUUUUUAUGUAAAAUGCUCCUGGAAUUCCAAAGUCGGAAUCCCAUUCAAAAUAAAUACUGAAUGCCUCUUGUCUUGCUCCCAAAGUGGGUAGUGUUGGAAGAUGACUGUUCAGAUAUGUUUCCUCUCCAACUUUCCCUUUCCCACCUACAUAGUUAAACUCCAUAAAUAGUUAAAAAAACAAGGGCACGUCACCCAACAAUAAUUUCAAAUGCUAUAUAUGUAUUUUUUUAAAUAUAAAUAUAUAUUCAAUUUAUAAUAUGUUUAUACAAUAUAAAUACAAAAAAAAAAUAUUAUCUUAUAUCUAUUUACGUGUAAAUGUAAAUAAUUAAAGAAUUUUUUUUGAAUAAUGAUUUAUGAAAUGUACUAUUGUCACAAAUAAAUAAUUUUAUAUGUACAAAGAAUAUUAUUAAAUGUUAAUUAAAUAUUGAAUAAGAUUAAAAUUAAUAAUCUUAUUAUUCUCAAAAUUAUUACAACCAUAAUAUUAUAUAGAUUUUUCUUUCAUAACUUUUUUAUUUUACUUUUCCUCUUUUGUCCUGUUUUUAUGCAGUGAGGUAAUUAUUUGACUUAUAUUUAUUACAUUAGUUAUUUUCUAUAAUUACACCUGUUUGAUGGUAGUUCUGUUUUAUUGUGUUAAUAAUAAUUUGAAGAAAUGAAAAGAGAUUGAACGAACCAUGAGUCUGAGUAGCACUGAUCAACUGCAUGGAAACGUUACGCCCUAAGAAGGCGGUGGCAGCGUCGAUUACUCCGCCGGCUACAUUGGCGACGCCGCCCAAGAUACCGCCGACGGCGCCAACAGCGCCGCCGACAACGCCGCCAAUACUGUUAGGAACGGAGACGGAGGAGAUGGCGUUGAAGUCCAAGACAUUCUUGGGCAUCAACACCACAGUCCCCUUUAUCUUCUGUGUCCUUUUGCCGAUCCCAAACAUUUUUCCUCCUUCUGUUUACACACACUCAACACUAUUGUUCUUAUCCUUUUCAGAAGAAGAAGAAGAAGCUUGUGUGGUGAAACACUGCAUAGAAGGUACUUAUAGUGGCAGAAUUCAUGGCAUACCUACCUGCAUAUCUAACACGUGCUAUAUAACAUUGCAUAAUGAUGUUCCAGUCCAAUCAAACUCCACAAAUUUCAACAUUGAGUAAGAAAAAAUGAUUCAAAAGUUUAUAUAUAUACAAAUACCUCUAAUAAAAAAAAUAUUUUGAAUAACUAUAAAAAACAUAAAUAUCUCCAAUAAAAAAAGGUUAAAUAUCUUUUUUUUCCCAUUGGUUAAGAAUAUUCAAAUUGGUCCUCAUUUUAUUUUUCUGUUCACUAUAGUCCUAAAGAACGUAAUAUUAUGUUCAAUUUAGUCAUUUUUAUGUUCCAUGUAGUCCUAAAGAACGUAAUUUGUGUUCAAUUUAGUCCUUGUUUGUAGUUCACGGAAUUUGUAAAAAGGAUUAAAUUGAACACAAAUUACAUUCUUUAGGACUACAUUGAACAGAAAAAAGACUAAAUUGAACAUAAUUACGUUUUUUAGGACUAUAUUGAACAGAAAAAUAAAAUGGAGACCAUUUUGAAUAUUUGUAACCAAAACUAGGACCAAAAAAUGUAUUUUACCUAAAAAAAAAGUAUCUUGAAUAAGUAUAAAAAACAAAUCAGUAAAAACUUAAUCCAAAAUGGAUAAUAUUUUUUGAUGUAUAGAGAUCUAUGUGUGUCCAACCUACCUACAAUGACGAUAGAACAAUCAUUUACAUUCAUUUUACAUAUUAUAAAAUAAUUUAAAAAAGUAAACUUUUUGUAAUUUUUUUUAAAUAAAAAAUAAAAAGUAAGAAAACAUUAUACUAUCAUUUCUCUUCAUUGUUUUGUCAAUUUCUUAGGAUCAACAUUAUCCACUCAUAUCUCUUCUGUGUUCUGGUUUGUUAUAUUAAUUAGUGGUCGUAAAAAUUAUUUCAAAUAUUUCAUAAUACAGAGAAUUUUUGUAAUACAGGCAGAUUUUUUUCUUAAUAUUUCAUAAUUUAUUUAUAUUAGCCAUAGAAUGGUCCAGUUCUACUUUUCAUGCUUUUGUUUUUAUAUCAUUGGACCACCUGCGUAUGCUUAUUCGUUCGCCUUGUGGAUGAGAUAUGCAUUAAAUCUAUUAAUGAUUGAUUUUAUAUCAUUGCCUUUUCUCUUCUAUCUUUCUAAGAUUUAGGAGUUAAUUUUUAUCAUCUUAUUGAUCAAGGUAUUAGUGAGACUACGACAAAGUGAAAAUGAAUUCUGACUCUUAAAAAAAUUCAAUUAAACUAAGAUUUUAUUUUCCCUCUACUUAAAAAAAAUUGAUAAACUACAUUUGUAUGUGAAAGUAAAAUAAAUUUGUACAUUAAAGUUUAAUGUUUCAAUAGGAAAUUUAACAUUGUGGGGUUUUGAUUGAGAUCGAAGACAUACAUUCCUUUUGAAAUUCUUCUUGGAACUUGAAAUAAUAGAGUGAGAAUCAUCAAAUUGAUUUAUGUUAGUUAUAAUAUAGAGUAUAUGUAAUAUAUUUGUUCUUUUAUACAUUUGAAAUUGGGUUGGACAAUUAUAUUUAUUUUUGUUCCAUCGAUUUAUGUUUAGAUUAUGAUUAGAUAUUGUUGAAUUUAUAUAUUGGGUUUUGAAUGGUAAUUUUGAGCUGAAAUGAUUCAAAUAUAAAAUUGAUGUAAUAAAUAGGUUGGUGUGUUUUGAUUAAGAGUGUCAAAUGGAUUGAUUUACCAAUGCACUAAAAGUAAAUUAGUUUAAGUCAACAAUUUUAUAAUAUGACUUAAUUCUCAUAAAUUGAUUAAUGAAUUUACUCACUUAAAAAUAUUUUAUAUAUUUUUAAUUUAUUUUAUAUAUAUAUAUAUAUGCUAGAAAUAGGAUCGUCCAAUUCUCCUUUUUCGUGGCUUGUUUUCAUAUCAUUGGACUAUAUAUAGGAGAUGCAAUAAAUCACUGAAUAAUUGGUUUGAAAUUUUUUUGAAGGGUUCAGAAUUUAUUUUUAUAUUUAAAAUUGAAAAAAAAAAUAUCAUUCGUAGCUUCUUAAUAUCUCCAUAAAUUAAUAUUAUUAAUUCUCUCAAAAGAUACAGGAAUUUAAUUAGGGGAACGUGGAAUUAUGGACUUACGGGUGUCAAUUCGUUAAUAUAUCGUAAAUCUUAACUCAUUUAAAUAAGUCUCUUUUGAGGAUUUUAAGCAACGGGAUAAAGAAAACUUUCAAGUUUAGAAAGUCUCUCUUUCAAAUAGAUUAUGGUUAGGACUAAAAUAUGUUUGGUGCAAUGAAAAAUUUAAUUAAAUACGCCAGUUGCAAUUUGUUGGAAUUUGAACCAUGUUUCCAAGACUAAUGCCGGGUGGUUUAGAUUGAAAAUUUAGAUGAGUGGAUUUAGUUUUGAGGUUUAUAUGAGUUGAUCGAGUUUGAAGGUUAUGGACUAGUUAAGGUUAAUUCAAAUCAAAAGUUAAAAUAAACUAGUUUGGGUGGUUGAUUGAACCAAGUUAAUAAUCGAGAUGGGUCAAUCAAGUUGAAGGUUGUGAUGAGUCAAUCUAGAUUGAAGGUUGAGACGAACUGACAUGUAUUGGAAGUCAAGACACACUAUGAUCGCUUGACAACAACUAAAAUUUUAUCAAAUUCAACAAAUUUGGUUGAACUUGGCCCAAUCUUCCUUGACCAAAAUUUGACCAUAUUUGACAAAGUCGAGCCAAGCUGAAAUUUGUCUAAAUUUGACUUAUUUAGACCUUGUUGAAAUACACCCAAAUUUAAUAGUAUUGACUUGGUCAAAAUUUGGCCGAAUUCGACCAAGACGAUUAUGACCAAAAUUUAGUUGAAUUCGGUCGAGUUGGUCCAAGCCAAAAUUAGGUCAAAAUUGAUCGAGAUUACCUAGGUUGACAUUUUUUUGAAUUUUAUAUAAUUGACCAUGAUCGUAAUUUGGCUAAAUUCGACUAAGUCGUCCCGAUCGAAAUUUCGUCAUGUUAACCUUAGCAUAAUUUUGUCCGAAUUUGACUCAAUCAGUUUUGUUCGAAUUCUAUGGAAUCAACCACAACUAAAUUUUGGUCGAAUUCAACUGAGUCAACCAUAAUUGGGAUAAGGUCAAGUCGGUAACAAUAAAUAGCGAAUUCCAACCACAUAUGGUCAUUUACAAAAACGAAGCUGAUGACACUAAAGAAAAACUUAAACAAAGACGAUCAGAUUCGUUUAAAGUAUUCAAAAAAAGGGGUGGAAAGCAGAUAGAAGGUGCGAUGCAAGAGUCUGCAAAAUCAAAUAUGAGUAAAAGUGGGUGUAUGGAUGGGUGGAGUUAAUUAUAAGAGAGAAAAAGUUUUUUACCCUUAUCAGAAAGGUACUUUUCUUAAUUUAGAAUUUGGAGGUGUAGAAAGAAAAGUUGAAGGUACAAGGAGAAGCAUCCGUGGAGAGAUAGCAUGUAAUCUGUAACCCAACUUUAGAAAACUAAAUUGAAAAACGGAUAGCCCAAAAGAAAAACGGGCUUAACGAGAGUGUUAUCAUUAUAUAUUAUUAUUAUUUUAAUAUGAAUUUCUUAAACAUAUUUAGUCAAUUUUUUAUUUAGUUAUAAAUUAGCAUUUUAGUUUGUGCAAGGAAGAUAAAUGUUUUAUCAUAUAUAACAAAAAGUACGAUAUAUAUAUAUAUAUAUAUAUAUAUAUAUAUAUAUAUAUAUAUAUAUAUCCAUCAAAUAUCUUACUUAAACAAGUUUUAUAUUUUAUAUUGCUUUAACAUCAUUUCAAGAAAUAAAUUUAUGUUUAACUAUUGAGAGACGAUAAGGACAUUUGUGAAAUGUUGUUGGUCAUUAGUAUACUUUUCAGAACUAGAAGACUUGUUGCAUCGAUUUAUCUGUUUUAUAUACACAAUGAUUGCACCAAAUCUAUCACAUUAUUUUCUGAUUAAUGUUUAAAACAAAAAACACUGUUAUUUUCUUGGUCAAUCAAAGCACACAGUUCCAAACAGAGAAUUACAAGCAUAAUAAAAAACACAACAGCAUGAUCAUUUGUGUUAUGACAAAGUGGAUACAUAAUCAUGGUAUUCAACCACACGUUGUCUAGAUAGAGAUACUGUUAGGGAUUCCUCUGAAAGUCAACCCUUCCUCGCUUGAAGGAAUGAGCAAUGUGUAUGGAAGUUCAACUGGUCCACAUCGGUUUUUCAAGGCUGAAUCGGUGUUCCUUGCUGUGAUUUUUGCUUCAAUCUCUGUCAACUUGCUUCCAAACCUUUUGAACGCUUCCAAUGCCUUAGAAUCAGAUGUCCAAUUUGGAUGAUCUCUCUUGCCAAGGUAGAUCUCAUCAGAAGCAUGCCUUGACAGUAUUUCUAUCACUGUCAGAUCAAUAAUGGCCUCACGCUUAGGUGUAAUUGUUCUCAAAUAUGCAGUGUGAGGACUCUUCAGCAUCUCAUCAUAUUCUUUGGUUCCUGGCUCAGGGAUGAAUCUUCUGCUUAAAGUUGGACGGUUCAGGAUAAAACCUCCAUAAGGAUAUUGUCCAAAAUUAACAGCUGCAUGAAGAGCUGAAGCAGUCCAAAUGAUAGUAGAACUUGAUUGAAUAAGCUCUUGACGAGUCUUCAUUUUAGGCCACCAUUGUUUAUCUUUUAAGUCUGCAUGACCCUUCUCUACAGCUUCCUUCCACCAUGCUUGAAGUUCAGUAUCUUGUUGAACUGCCACAUCUGUAGGGUAAUACAAGGACACAUACUCUUCAACCCAUAUCUUAAUAGCAUCCCAUAUUUCAAGUCCAUCAACAGCAUAAGGGUAGUCCUUUAUCACAAGACGAAGGCCAUGAGGAGCAGAAGGAUCUUCAGUAGCCAAUCCUCUACAUCAAGCAAAAAGAAAAAAAAUGUUACUACCCUCUCAGUUUUUGCCAUAAUUAAAAGGGCACAUUUUGUUUUUUAGUCCCAGUUCAUUUUUCUAUCAUUAACCAUAUUAUUAUAGUUUAGUUUAUGCAGUAAUGUGUAUUUAAGAAGAAUACCUCUUGAUGAGAUCGGCUGGCAAUGAUUGUUCAGUGAAAACCCAAUUCUUGUAAACGGCUGAAGACAUCUCCAUAGAAUACUUUCCAGGCAAAAAUGAUUGUUCUAUAAUGCCAUUUGCAUUAAUCAGGUUUUGUCUAGCAAGUGCAUUGAUAUUAAUGGUAUCACGAUAGUGAGGAUAAAGAAGCUUAUAAAUGGGGUGAAUCACACUGAGAUUCCUGUUUGUUGCUAUUGCAAAUGGCUCCAUCACUGCAUGAGUAUUUAACCUGCAACACCAAAAAGGAAGAAAAAGAAAAAAACUUAUCAAUAAUAAAUUCAUAUACGCAUAAACUAUAUAUGUGCUAAAUAUUGCUGAAGAAGUUCUUACCAAUGACUCAUGAGCUGAUGAUAACCAGAGUCAUUUACAAUUACAUAAGCCUUGGCCAACAGCCAAAUUGUGCUGUCAACACCAUCAAUCGCAGGUAACACAACUUUGCUCACAGGACCCAAAUUAUCUCCACUUGGAUGUGGCUUGCUUAAUUCGAUAGCAAGUGGCUUCAAAGUGCCAUCAUCUUUCAAGAAUAGGAUCGUUCUUGUGGCAUAAGCUUUUGCAGUAGGUAAACUGUUUAUCCUCGUCAAAUAAGGAAUGAAUGCAUCUUGGUAAUCUAAUAUGAACAAUCUCUUAGCAGCAAGUGCCUG